CGACCGGCGCACGGGUGAGUAACGCGUAUGUAAUCUGCCUUGUACAGAGGGAUAGCCCAGAGAAAUUUGGAUUAAUACCUCAUAGUAUUACUGAAUCGCAUGAUUCGGUAAUUAAAGCUCCGGCGGUACAAGAUGAACAUGCGUGACAUUAGCUAGUUGGUAAGGUAACGGCUUACCAAGGCAACGAUGUCUAGGGGUUCUGAGAGGAUGAUCCCCCACACUGGUACUGAGACACGGACCAGACUCCUACGGGAGGCAGCAGUGAGGAAUAUUGGUCAAUGGACGCAAGUCUGAACCAGCCAUCCCGCGUGAAGGAUGACUGCCCUAUGGGUUGUAAACUUCUUUUAUAU
RNAcentral lists this ribosomal RNA (350 nucleotides) under uncultured bacterium. RNAcentral describes it as "bacterial SSU rRNA". It matches the Rfam family "Bacterial small subunit ribosomal RNA", at positions 92 to 441 of the family's 1533-position model. The record is from RNAcentral.